RNAcentral lists this ribosomal RNA (378 nucleotides) under uncultured bacterium. RNAcentral's name for it is "bacterial SSU rRNA". It matches the Rfam family "Bacterial small subunit ribosomal RNA", at positions 521 to 896 of the family's 1533-position model. The record is from RNAcentral.
UAAGACGUAGGGCGCGAGCGUUGUCCGGAUUUAUUGGGCGUAAAGAGCUCGUAGGCGGCUUGUCGCGUCGACUGUGAAAACCCGCGGCUCAACCGCGGGCCUGCAUUCGAUACGGGCAGGCUAGAGUUCGGUAGGGGAGACUGGAAUUCCUGGUGUAGCGGUGAAAUGCGCAGAUAUCAGGAGGAACACCGAUGGCGAAGGCAGGUCUCUGGGCCGAUACUGACGCUGAGGAGCGAAAGCGUGGGGAGCGAACAGGAUUAGAUACCCUGGUAGUCCACGCUGUAAACGUUGGGCGCUAGGUGUGGGGGACCUCUCCGGUUCUCUGUGCCGCAGCUAACGCAUUAAGCGCCCCGCCUGGGGAGUACGGCCGCAAGGCUA